Molecule: ribosomal RNA, 466 nt
Filed under: uncultured bacterium
Lineage: Bacteria
Description: partial 16S ribosomal RNA
Rfam family: Bacterial small subunit ribosomal RNA
Source: RNAcentral
GACGAACGCUGGCGGCGUGCUUAACACAUGCAAGUCGAACGGAAAGGCCCAGCUUGCUGGGUACUCGAGUGGCGAACGGGUGAGUAACACGUGGGUGAUCUGCCCUGGACUCUGGGAUAAGCCUGGGAAACUGGGUCUAAUACCGGAUAUGACCUUACAUCGCAUGGUGUUUGGUGGAAAGCUUUUGCGGUUCGGGAUGGGCCCGCGGCCUAUCAGCUUGUUGGUGGGGUAAUGGCCUACCAAGGCGACGACGGGUAGCCGACCUGAGAGGGUGAUCGGCCACACUGGGACUGAGACACGGCCCAGACUCCUACGGGAGGCAGCAGUGGGGAAUAUUGCACAAUGGGCGCAAGCCUGAUGCAGCGACGCCGCGUGAGGGAUGACGGCCUUCGGGUUGUAAACCUCUUUCACCAGGGACGAAGCGUGAGUGACGGUACCUGGAGAAGAAGCACCGGCCAACUACGUG